Molecule: ribosomal RNA, 482 nt
Filed under: uncultured bacterium
Lineage: Bacteria
Description: partial 16S ribosomal RNA
Rfam family: Bacterial small subunit ribosomal RNA
Source: RNAcentral
AUUGAACGCUGGCGGCAUGCCUUACACAUGCAAGUCGAACGGUAACGGGCCUUCGGGUGCCGACGAGUGGCGAACGGGUGAGUAAUACAUCGGAACGUGCCCGAUCGUGGGGGAUAACGAGGCGAAAGCUUUGCUAAUACCGCAUACGAUCUACGGAUGACAGCAGGGGACCGCAAGGCCUUGCGCGGACGGAGCGGCCGAUGGCAGAUUAGGUAGUUGGUGGGAUAAAAGCUUACCAAGCCGACGAUCUGUAGCUGGUCUGAGAGGAUGAUCAGCCACACUGGGACUGAGACACGGCCCAGACUCCUACGGGAGGCAGCAGUGGGGAAUUUUGGACAAUGGGCGCAAGCCUGAUCCAGCCAUGCCGCGCGCAGGAUGAAGGCCUUCGGGUUGUAAACUGCUUUUGUACGGAACGAAAAGCCUUCUUUUAAUACAGGAGGGUCAUGACGGUACCGUAAGAAUAAGCACCGGCUAACUACGUG